RNAcentral lists this transfer RNA (77 nucleotides) under Candidatus Actinomarinales bacterium. RNAcentral describes it as "tRNA-Val". It matches the Rfam family "tRNA". From Rfam's summary of the family: Transfer RNA (tRNA) molecules are approximately 80 nucleotides in length. Their secondary structure includes four short double-helical elements and three loops (D, anti-codon, and T loops). Lineage: Bacteria; Bacillati; Actinomycetota; Actinomycetes; Candidatus Actinomarinales. The record is from RNAcentral.
GGGAGAUUAGCUCAGUCUGGCAGAGCACUUGCUCGACAAGCAAGGGGCCACAAGUUCAAAUCUUGUAUCUCCCACAA